ACCGGCAAACGGGUGCGGAACACGUACGCAACUUACCCAAAACUGGGGAAUAGCCCGGGGAAACCCGGAUUAAUACCUCGUAACAUAAUUGAGUGGCAUCACUUGAUUAUUAUAGCUCCGGCGGUUUUGGAUGGGCGUGCGCCUGAUUAGGUAGUUGGCGGGGUAACGGCCCACCAAGCCUACGAUCAGUAACUGGUGUGAGAGCACGACCAGUCACACGGGCACUGAGACACGGGCCCGACUCCUACGGGAGGCAGCAGUAAGGAAUAUUGGACAAUGGGCGCAAGCCUGAUCCAGCCAUGCCGCGUGAAGGAUGACGGCCCUCUGGGUUGUAAACUUCUUUUAUAUGGGAAUAAACCCCUGGUUUCUACCGGGGCUGAAUGUACCGUAAGAAUAAGGAUCGGCUAACUUCGUGCCAGCAGCCGCGGUAAUACGAAGGAUCCAAGCGUUAUCCGGAUUUAUUGGGUUUAAAGGGUGCGUAGGCGGACUAUUAAGUCAGUGGUGAAAGCCUGCAGCUUAACUGCAGAACUGCCAUUGAUACUGAUGGUCUUGAGUACAUUUGAGGUGGGCGGAAUGUGUCAUGUAGUGGUGAAAUACUUAGAUAUGACACAGAACUCCGAUUGCGAAGGCAGCUCACUAAACUGUAACUGACGCUGAGGCACGAAAGCGUGGGGAUCAAACAGGAUUAGAUACCCUGGUAGUCCACGCCCU
RNAcentral lists this ribosomal RNA (711 nucleotides) under uncultured Chitinophagaceae bacterium. RNAcentral describes it as "bacterial SSU rRNA". It matches the Rfam family "Bacterial small subunit ribosomal RNA", at positions 94 to 803 of the family's 1533-position model. The record is from RNAcentral. Lineage: Bacteria; Pseudomonadati; Bacteroidota; Chitinophagia; Chitinophagales; Chitinophagaceae.